AUCUAAGUACCCCGAGGAAAAGAAAUCAACCGAGAUUCCCCCAGUAGCGGCGAGCGAACGGGGAGGAGCCCAGAGCCUGAAUCAGCAUGUGUGUUAGUGGAAGCGUCUGGAAAGGCGCGCGAUACAGGGUGACAGCCCCGUACACAAAAGCGCAUGUGCUGUGAGCUCGAUGAGUAGGGCGGGACACGUGGUAUCCUGUCUGAAUAUGGGGGGACCAUCCUCCAAGGCUAAAUACUCCUGACUGACCGAUAGUGAACCAGUACCGUGAGGGAAAGGCGAAAAGAACCCCGGCGAGGGGAGUGAAAAAGAACCUGAAACCGUGUACGUACAAGCAGUGGGAGCACAGGUUUACCUGUGUGACUGCGUACCUUUUGUAUAAUGGGUCAGCGACUUAUAUUCUGUAGCAAGGUUAACCGUAUAGGGGAGCCGGAGGGAAACCGAGUCUUAAC
RNAcentral lists this ribosomal RNA (449 nucleotides) under Salmonella enterica. RNAcentral's name for it is "partial 23S ribosomal RNA". It matches the Rfam family "Bacterial large subunit ribosomal RNA", at positions 200 to 688 of the family's 2925-position model. RNAcentral also lists the same sequence under 1 other name. The record is from RNAcentral. Lineage: Bacteria; Pseudomonadati; Pseudomonadota; Gammaproteobacteria; Enterobacterales; Enterobacteriaceae.